Long non-coding RNA from Lycium ferocissimum, 300 nucleotides. RefSeq lists it as uncharacterized. The record is from RefSeq and is a predicted model, not a curated record. NCBI's taxonomy places the organism in Eukaryota, Viridiplantae, Streptophyta, Magnoliopsida, Solanales, Solanaceae. The transcript has 2 exons.
AAAGGGAAAUCAUCAAUAAUGCAAGUCCAAAUUAAGAGAAGUAAAACAAAGGUGGAUGAAGGUUUUAAGAUUUUGAUUUCGUAAAAAUGAGACGCUUCUUCAACUUGGACUGAGGUCCUCCUCAACGUGCUGGACCCCUGAAUUGGCUUUUGUAUUAGUUGGAACGCCAGAACAUGAACAAUCUAACUACUCUUCUGUCUUUAUGGUACUACUGGAAGCAUGUUCAAGACUAAAUUGUACAACUUUGUUAUGCAAAUGAGUGUAUAUGCUAUGAACCAAAAUAUUUAGUCAGUUUGAUGA